Long non-coding RNA from Ruditapes philippinarum (Manila clam), 2698 nucleotides. RefSeq lists it as uncharacterized. NCBI's taxonomy places the organism in Eukaryota, Metazoa, Mollusca, Bivalvia, Venerida, Veneridae. The transcript is spliced from 3 exons. The record is from RefSeq and is a predicted model, not a curated record.
UUCAUUUUCCUUAUAUGUGUAGUGGAAUGCAAAAAUGGGGCUUCUUGACGUUGACGUCAUUAUCGAGAAAAUGCGAGAUCUUUGACGCCAUUUUUUCCUCAUUAUUUUUCCGUUCAUCUGGCAGUAAAACAGCGCUUAAUUAUAUAAUAAAUGACUUGUCAGCACAUGGGGUCCUGAUUCAUACAGAGUAAUCAACGGCAAAAAUAAUUUGCUACCGUUCAUCCUAUGACAGCAAGUAAAAUUAUCACGGGAAAAGAUUUUUACGAGGACAACUGAUUACGUCAUCUGACAUUGAUUGUUGAUGAAAUAUUGGUGAAUUGAUUCGAUGUUUUUCGGUGUUUUAAAGAAUAUUUUACACUGACAACGUCUGUUUUGACAAAAAUUAUAUAUAACUGGAUUAUUCGGGUUAGGCACUUCACCAUGCACUCUUGAUGUAAAGUACUCCAACCCUUGGGAUUAUGCCCAACAAGUGCACUUUUCCCAUCAUUCUCAACCGGGUGGUCCAAUAUGUUUUAGGACACCAAGGAAGUUUCAUGUGUUUGGUGUUUGUGUAGAGGGAUCAGGACUUCAUGGAAGUGUCAGUCUCAACAUGCUUGGUACUUUUAUAUCUGGAAAGUGAAAAACUAUGCAACAGGUUGCCUAAGUGUACUGUCCUGAAGUCAUCAAGAUAUGGGCACAAUAUCCUACAGCUUAUAGAUGAUCCAGAAAAUCCCUAGGAAGUCAUUUCUUAAGUUAAGCCCUCAAACUGUUAUCCAAAUACCACCAUUUUUGUGCAAGUGCAAUGGAGCCAUGUGUUAUAACAUGUAAAGAAUAUAUUAAUUCUGUGGAGGUAAAAAUGUAUUUACUGAAACAAUUGCCUCCCAGAGGUCUUUUAUCUGAAGUACAGUAAUGAUGCAGCAAGACAUUAGUAUCUAUUUGAACAAAUUGGGCAGUUCUUCAAAUCUGACAUGGCUAAAAUACUGUGUGGCCAAAACCAGUUAUCUCGAAAACAGAAACAAAGUUGGAGAUUGACAAAAUGUGAAAAAGGUGGAAAGAGAAAGAGCAGUAUUUUACUCUUGAGUAUAAUUGGAGUUCUUAUAACAUAGUGGUCAUGUAUGGACUGUCAUUAUUUUUAUCAUUUCAAAUAUAGCUUAUGAUACAAGUAGAUGCUUCAUAAGAUAAGACUGCAAGUGUGUUGCAUAACUGGUGCUCUAAGGACUAAUGCUAUAUUAACAAGUAUGUGGAUCAUUGAUGCAUAGAUAUUAAUUAAUGGCUGCCUAUAUUAUUUUUGGAUGCCAGUUUACCAGUUACUAAUUUCCAUCAUUUUUACAAAAUGUUUAUUAGAUUAAGUUUAGUGUAAUACAACAUUUGUCAUUUUACUCUAAGUUAUAGAAUUCUAUUGAACCUAUGCAUGUUAUGAAUUGAUCAACUGUCAACUGAUCUUAAGCUUUGAUCUAGAUUGAAAAUGACUGUAUGAAAAUGUAAAGUAACAUUAAGCUUCAGUACUUGUUGUCAAAUUUUAAACAUUUUAUAGUAACUGUUGUAGAAUAUGAAAAAUACUUUAUCUAUAACAAUGAUAGGUCAGUUGAAUUUUUAUGUUGAUAUUAGUGUAGAAUCACAUUGUAAAUUAUCACCAAUCCUUAAAAUUGUUAAAAGAAGCAGCAAAAUCAAGAAUAUUCAAUGGUAGCUAGGCAACCAAAUGAACCAAUAUUCCCUUCAGUUGGGAAGGAUUUUAAACAGAUGCAUCAUAAUAAAAAUACUUUAUAUGUUUGAUCACAUUGUAACUCUAUAAUUGAAAAAUAAUCAUCACUAAGUUAUAAAAUAUCAAAAUAUAGAACCUUAAAUGUACCUGAAAAUAAAUGUUGUGAACAUGAUAUUAGAAGUAUCAUUUUUAAUUUAUAUUAUUAAGGAAUGGUGAGGCAGGCUGUUCUCUGAAUACCUUAUUAAUUUCAGUUACACAUUAUUUGUGGUAUUGUUUUCAUUUUUAGCUCACCUGACCACGAAGUGGUCAAGGUGAGGUAUAGUGAUGGGGCUAUGUCCGGCGUCGUGCGUCGUCAACAAUUGGGUUGUUAACAGUCUAGCAGUCACAGUUUUGAUUGGAUCAUCAUCAAACUUUGUCAGAAUGUGUGUCUCAAUGAAAUACAGAUCAAGUUCGAAGAUGGGUUAUCUCGGGUCAAAAACUAGGUCACAGGAGCUAAAAAUAGAAAAACCUUGUUAACACUCUAGAGGCUGCAGUUUUCAUCCAAAUAUUCUGGAAAUUUGUCAGGAAGGUUGUUUUAUUGAUAUCUAGGUCAAGUUCGAAGAUGGGUCAUCUCCGGUCAAAAACUAGGUCACAGGAGCUAAAAAUAGAAAAAGCUUGUUAACACUCUAAUAAUUGGGUUGUUAACAGUCUAGCAGUCACAGUUUUGAUUUGAUCAUCAUCAAACUUUGUCAGAAUGUUUGUCUCAAAGAAAUACAGAUCGAGUUCGAAGAUGGGUUAUCUCGGGUCAAAAACUAGGUCACUGGAGUUAAAAAUAGAAAAAGCUUGUUUAUACUCUAGAGGCUGCAGUUUUCAUCCAAAUAUUCUGGAAAUUUGUCAGAAAGGUUGUUUUAAUGAUAUCUAGGUCAAGUUCGAAGAUGGGUCAUCUCCGGUCAAAAACUAGGUCACAGGAGCUAAAAAUAGAAAAAGCUUGUUAACACUCUAGUGGCUGCAGUUUUCAUCCAAAUAUUCUUGAAAUUU